Ixodes scapularis (black-legged tick) is the source of this 47-nucleotide non-coding RNA. The record is from Rfam. Lineage: Eukaryota; Metazoa; Arthropoda; Arachnida; Ixodida; Ixodidae.
CAAAAGGCCCUUUUAAGGGCCAAACAAAUCUGGCUUUGGAGCGUAAG